CAGAAACUAACAUCUAUCCUUGCCUACGAAAUCUGAGAGUGAAUCAAGUAUCUGAAGCCUAAGAACUUGAGUGAGACAGUCUUAUCCUCGGAAGGGAUUUCCUGAUACCCAAGGCUUGUUAGGGUGGAAAUACUCUUUUCGGAAAGUGGUGCCCACGAUUCUGUCUUAAUCCUAGAUCUCUUCUUCUAUCAACACUCGAACGAUUGCUACUUGGAACCUCAUAGCCAACAGUGGGUUCCUCGCUGGUGGAUCUGGAGGAAGAUGAUGAAGUGGGAGAAAGUUAGAAUUUGGGGGCUAAUCAGUUUACAACUUGGUUUUCUAACCCGCGGAAUUACUACUCUGAGUUGCUGAGUGAUGACUAGGACGUUUGCCUCCGUGGCGUGCUUGCGUGGCGUUGUCGCGUGGCAUAGGAGACGAAACAACUGGACGGACACGGACAGAAUAGUAAACUCGGAUGAAAUUGAUAGAAUUAGAAUCUUGG
This 481-nucleotide long non-coding RNA is filed under the name Linum usitatissimum (flax). RNAcentral describes it as "long non-coding RNA (LUSI_LNC007578)". Lineage: Eukaryota; Viridiplantae; Streptophyta; Magnoliopsida; Malpighiales; Linaceae. The record is from RNAcentral.